UUAAGUUCAGCGGGUAUCCCUACCUGAUUCGAGGUCAAUCAUAAACAAUUUGGGGUUUCGGCGGAAGAUUUCUCGCUUCCUUCAGUGACAUAAGUUAUUAUUACACUUGGGAGAGCAAGGGUCUUCGCCAUUGGAUUUCGAAGAGGACUCCAACGAAUUGGCUUCCAUCUCCAAGACAAGCAAUAGGUAAACCUAAGCUU
RNAcentral lists this unclassified non-coding RNA (200 nucleotides) under uncultured Pezizaceae. RNAcentral's name for it is "sequence contains ITS2". The record is from RNAcentral. Lineage: Eukaryota; Fungi; Ascomycota; Pezizomycetes; Pezizales; Pezizaceae.